This 671-nucleotide ribosomal RNA is filed under the name Hepatozoon canis. Its description in RNAcentral is "SSU rRNA". It matches the Rfam family "Eukaryotic small subunit ribosomal RNA", at positions 167 to 826 of the family's 1831-position model. Lineage: Eukaryota; Apicomplexa; Hepatozoidae. The record is from RNAcentral.
AUACAUGAGCAAAAUCUCAACUUUAUUAGAAGAGACGCAUUUAUUAGAUAAAAAGCCAAUGCAUGCUUUUACAGUAUGGAAAUUGGUGAUUUAUAAUAACUUGGCAAAUCGCAAAGUGAAAACAGGCGAUAAAUCAUUCAAGUUUCUGACCUAUCAGCUUUCGACGGUAUGGUAUUGGCUUACCGUGGCAGUGACGGUUAACGGGGGAUUAGGGUUCGAUUCCGGAGAGGGAGCCUGAGAAACGGCUACCACAUCUAAGGAAGGCAGCAGGCGCGCAAAUUACCCAAUUCUAACAGUUUGAGAGAGGUAGUAACAAGAAAUAACAAUACAAGGCAAUUAAAAUGUUUUGUAAUUGGAAUGAUAGAAAUUUAAACCCUUUUUAAAGUAUCAAUUGGAGGGCAAGUCUGGUGCCAGCAGCCGCGGUAAUUCCAGCUCCAAUAGCGUAUAUUAAAAUUGUUGCAGUUAAAAAGCUCGUAGUUGAAGUUCUGCUAAAAGUAACCGGUCUGCUUUUAAUAAAAGUGGUAUCUUGGUGUGUAUUUAGCAAUGAUGUCCUUUGAAGUGUUUUUUACUUUAUUGUAAUAAAGCAUAUUCAGGACUUUUACUUUGAGAAAAUUAGAGUGUUUCUAGCAGGCCGACGCUUUGAAUACUGCAGCAUGGAAAAUAAUAAGGAA